This 428-nucleotide ribosomal RNA is filed under the name Brucella melitensis. Its description in RNAcentral is "partial 16S ribosomal RNA". It matches the Rfam family "Bacterial small subunit ribosomal RNA", at positions 355 to 774 of the family's 1533-position model. RNAcentral also lists the same sequence under 3 other names. The record is from RNAcentral. Lineage: Bacteria; Pseudomonadati; Pseudomonadota; Alphaproteobacteria; Hyphomicrobiales; Brucellaceae.
UGGGGAAUAUUGGACAAUGGGCGCAAGCCUGAUCCAGCCAUGCCGCGUGUGUGAAGAAGGCCUUUUGGUUGUAAAGCACUUUAAGCGAGGAGGAGGCUACUUGGAUUAAUACUCUAGGAUAGUGGACGUUACUCGCAGAAUAAGCACCGGCUAACUCUGUGCCAGCAGCCGCGGUAAUACAGAGGGUGCGAGCGUUAAUCGGAUUUACUGGGCGUAAAGCGUGCGUAGGCGGCUUCUUAAGUCGGAUGUGAAAUCCCUGAGCUUAACUUAGGAAUUGCAUUCGAUACUGGGAAGCUAGAGUAUGGGAGAGGAUGGUAGAAUUCCAGGUGUAGCGGUGAAAUGCGUAGAGAUCUGGAGGAAUACCGAUGGCGAAGGCAGCCAUCUGGCCUAAUACUGACGCUGAGGUACGAAAGCAUGGGGAGCAAACA